AGUGUUGUGGCUUAGUGGUGGAGCACUUGCCUCACAUGUGCAAGGUGCUGGGUUCGAUCCUCAGCACUA
This 69-nucleotide transfer RNA is filed under the name Ictidomys tridecemlineatus (thirteen-lined ground squirrel). RNAcentral describes it as "Spermophilus tridecemlineatus (thirteen-lined ground squirrel) tRNA". It matches the Rfam family "tRNA". From Rfam's summary of the family: Transfer RNA (tRNA) molecules are approximately 80 nucleotides in length. Their secondary structure includes four short double-helical elements and three loops (D, anti-codon, and T loops). Lineage: Eukaryota; Metazoa; Chordata; Mammalia; Rodentia; Sciuridae. The record is from Rfam by way of RNAcentral.